This 440-nucleotide ribosomal RNA is filed under the name uncultured bacterium. Its description in RNAcentral is "bacterial SSU rRNA". It matches the Rfam family "Bacterial small subunit ribosomal RNA", at positions 28 to 507 of the family's 1533-position model. The record is from RNAcentral.
GAUGAACGCUGGCGGUAUGCCUAACACAUGCAAGUCGUACGAGGGUUUUUAACNCCUAGUGGCGGACGGGUGAGUAACACGUGAGAAUUUGCCUUUAGAGGGGGAUAACAAUCGGAAACGAAUGCUAAUACCCCAUAUGCUUUUGAGUGAAAUGGAUUUAUCCGCCUAAAGAGAAGCUCGCGGCUGAUUAGCUUGUUGGUAAGGUAAGAGCUUACCAAGGCGACGAUCAGUAUCUGGUUUGAGAGGACGAUCAGACACACUGGAACUGAGACACGGUCCAGACUCCUACGGGAGGCAGCAGUGGGGAAUUUUCCGCAAUGGGCGAAAGCCUGACGGAGCAAUACCGCGUGAGGGAAGACUGCCUAUGGGUUGUAAACCUCUUUUUUCAGGGAGGAAUAAAAUGACGUGUACCUGAAGAAUAAGCAUCGGCUAACUCCGUG